AGAGAGGUGGAGGGACAGGGCCCUAUGAAACCCGGCAACCAGCGUAUAGCGGGUGCCAAUUCCCACAAGUACAUAAUGUACUUGUAAGAUGAGG
Molecule: non-coding RNA, 94 nt
Filed under: uncultured Niameybacter sp.
Lineage: Bacteria; Bacillati; Bacillota; Clostridia; Lachnospirales; Lachnospiraceae
Description: SAM riboswitch (S box leader)
Rfam family: SAM riboswitch aptamer (S box leader)
About the family: The SAM riboswitch is found upstream of a number of genes which code for proteins involved in methionine or cysteine biosynthesis in Gram-positive bacteria. The SAM riboswitch acts at the level of transcription termination control. The predicted structure consists of a complex stem-loop region followed by a single stem loop terminator region.
Source: RNAcentral